Molecule: unclassified non-coding RNA, 258 nt
Filed under: Hevea brasiliensis (rubber tree)
Lineage: Eukaryota; Viridiplantae; Streptophyta; Magnoliopsida; Malpighiales; Euphorbiaceae
Source: RNAcentral
GGAAUUCAAUGAAAAUAUGAACUCAUGUUCUGAUUUAAGACAUAAAUAUGAAGAGAAUAAAUGAGUUGACUCAGAAAUAAGCAUCGACAUGUACAAUAGAAAGUGGACUAGUGGAGGGACAAACUUACAACAAUUUUUUAGUCCAAAAGUUGUUAAACAAAAAUGAAUGAGGAUUAGCAAAGGUCACUUAAAUUCUAGGUCUUUUUAAGUUAACGAAAAAACAAAAAAGGAUUCAUUUGAAAUUUAGAGCUAAUACCA